GUCCGGGAAGAGCCAACCGUGGCGCGGGCGGCGCGGGGAGGCGUCCCAGAGUCUCACUCUGCCGCCCAGGCUGGACUGCAGUGACACAAUCUGGGCUCACUGCAACCACUGCCUCCCGGGUUCAAGCGAUUCUCUUGCCUCAGCCUCCCAAGUAGCUGGGAUUACAGAUUGAUGUUCAUGUUCCUGACACUACUACAAGAUUCAUACUCCUGAUGCUACUGACAACAUGGCUUCCCCACAGUCACCAAACCAGGAAUGCUAUAUUGGACUUCCCUACUCUCAUCUGCUCCAGCUCCCUGACCUUAUAGUUGCCCAGCUUUCCUGGCAAUUGACUUUGCCCAUCAAUACACAGGAUUUAGCUGAGUAGCAUCCAGGGAAGAUGUCGGAGCCUCAGAUGUUAAUUUUCUAAUUGAGAAUAUUGGCGCUAUCCGAACCUGGAGACAGAGUAUCAGCGCCUUUGCUUGCUGCUGUUUUUGUUGUUUUUUGAUGCUGGGA
RNAcentral lists this small RNA (495 nucleotides) under Pan troglodytes (chimpanzee). Its description in RNAcentral is "processed transcript". Lineage: Eukaryota; Metazoa; Chordata; Mammalia; Primates; Hominidae. The record is from RNAcentral.